Molecule: long non-coding RNA, 447 nt
Organism: Hydra vulgaris (swiftwater hydra)
Lineage: Eukaryota; Metazoa; Cnidaria; Hydrozoa; Anthoathecata; Hydridae
Source: RefSeq, a predicted model, not a curated record
UUAGUUAAACAAAAAAAAAAAAUCUCAAAAAAGAAAGUUAAUCUGAAGUUUUUUUAUAUCAUAAAUUUAUUUGUGAUUAUUAUUUAGCUGAUGUACCGUUAAACUGAAGGUGGUAAGGUAAUAAAAUUUACAAAAUUUGCUCUGGCUGAAUUUUUCACUUGCAACCAUCUUGCUAUUAAACUGCCAUACGUAAAGUCACGCUUUUAAAAGUAACUGAAAGCAGCUGAAAAUAAGAAUUUUUUGAUGAACUUUCUUACUUCGGUUGGAGGAGAUGAGAAACAACUUACAGCCGCAAUCUUAAUACAGCUAAUGGCCAAAGAAAUAUGUUUUUCAUACUCAAUGUAUGGAAUGAAACAAAAACGUCCUGCAAGGUCGUUAUAGAGUUGCGUUUAGUCGUUUAUCGUUGUAUUCGUUCAUUUCGAAAUCGUUACUGACAAAAGUAUUAAA